This 267-nucleotide long non-coding RNA is filed under the name Ananas comosus (pineapple). RNAcentral describes it as "long non-coding RNA (ACOM_LNC026492)". Lineage: Eukaryota; Viridiplantae; Streptophyta; Magnoliopsida; Poales; Bromeliaceae. The record is from RNAcentral.
CAAUUAUAAAUCUACUACUUUAAUCUUUUAAAUUUUUAAUUUUACUAUUCAAUUUCUUUAGUCAAUGAUACUCUAAGUUUAAAUUUAAACUAAUUUGCUAUUUUAAUAAAUUUAUAAUUACAAAAAAUUACAUAAAUCUUACUAAUUAAAUCUGUAAAGAUAAAUAAUUAUAUUUAAAUUUUAAAGUUAAAGUAAAAAAAAAAUUUGAAAGGUUGGAUAGCUAAUUCAAAUUGAUCUAUAGUUCAGAUAGAAUAUAUUAAUCAAGCC